This 549-nucleotide ribosomal RNA is filed under the name Harveylithon sp. RNAcentral describes it as "partial large subunit ribosomal RNA". It matches the Rfam family "Eukaryotic large subunit ribosomal RNA", at positions 1331 to 1899 of the family's 3401-position model. The record is from RNAcentral. Lineage: Eukaryota; Rhodophyta; Florideophyceae; Corallinales; Porolithaceae.
AAGCGGGUUGCCGACACCAGACCGUUUUGGUAAGAAGCGACCAAAAUGAGUAGGAGGGCGUGGCGGUUUUGUUGAGAAGGAUGAGACGCAAGUCUAUCUGAAACGGCCGCUAGUGCAGAUCUUGGUGGUAGUAGCAAAUAUUCAAGCGAGAUCCUUGAAGGGCGAAGCGGGGAAGGGUUCCACGCGAACAUUGAUUGGGCGUGGGUGAGUCGUGCCUAAGCCGGGUGGUAAUCGUUCUUACGAUCGGCGAAAGGGAAGCGGGUUAAAAUUCUCGCACACGGAUGUGGAGGCGGUGACGCAAAUUGAGGUGGAGACGUUAGCGAUGGCACUGGGCAGAGUUGUCUUUUCUGUUUAACCUGUGGCGGCACUCUGUGGAAUCCGAUUAUCGGGAGAAACAGGUGCUUAUGGGAAGAGCGUCGGGGCGUCCCCGGCGUCCAGUACGCCAUCGAUAGCCCUUGAAAAUCCAUCUGCAAUGAAAUUUCACGCCGUGGCGUACCGAUAACCGCAUCAGGUCCCCAAGGUGAACAGCCUCUGCUCAAUAUGAACAAU